This 72-nucleotide transfer RNA is filed under the name Phrynosoma platyrhinos (Desert horned lizard). RNAcentral's name for it is "tRNA-OTHER". Lineage: Eukaryota; Metazoa; Chordata; Lepidosauria; Squamata; Phrynosomatidae. The record is from RNAcentral.
GCCAGUGUGGUAUAGUGGUUUGAGCAAUGGACUAUGACUCUGGAGACCAGGGUUCAAUUCCCAGCUCAGCCA